Cordylochernes scorpioides is the source of this 80-nucleotide non-coding RNA. The record is from the annotation of a GenBank genome assembly. NCBI's taxonomy places the organism in Eukaryota, Metazoa, Arthropoda, Arachnida, Pseudoscorpiones, Chernetidae.
UGUCCAGGGGCGGGAACCGAACCCACAACCUUCCGCUUACCGGGCAGAUGCCAUGUCCACUAGGCUACCCGCCCCUGGAC